GCGACUCCCGAACGAAGCCGGUUACCCACGAAAAGUAAGGUCAUUCGCAACAUGGCGGCAAGCGAGGCAAGACGUGAAGCGGUUUCUCCCAAUUUCCACAGGUUUUCGUCAUUCUAUAACGUUAUCGAAUCGCAGUUCUUUGAUUGACAGUUGGCGAGUGGCGUUCUUCCUAACCCACCAUCGGCUUGAACGGCGGGUAAAGAUUACAAACAGUUCUCCGUUUUCCAAUGAGCCACGGUCAAACAGGACGCCUAUUUAGAUGAACACAUCUGGUAUAUCGUUGUACAACUGAUAAUGUUAAACCCGAAGAACUCGAACCGCGUGAAGAAGUAGGAGGAGAAAAAUGGAAGAGGAUGCGGGGACGAUGGGAAGCAAAGCGGAGCGCAAAAACGAAGGCGAACAGCGCGAGAAGCGAGUACAUACAUAGAGGAAUGCGAUAUUAAGUUGACUUCAAGGAGUCUCUCGCACACGCCGAUUCCUGUAUCCACUGAAAGAUAUCUAGUUUGGAAUUACUCUGAAACGAACGAAAUCCUCGAAAACCUUUCGUAGCACGCAUCAAAAGAGUAGGAGAAAGAAAUCAAAAUAUUACUGCGAAGACUAUGAAGCUGGGGCUGUGUAUAGACGACUGCUUUUAGAUCCAUCACACGAAACUUGAUUUCUAAGGCAGCCGAGCAAUACUUGCACGUCGAUGGUUGCCGUAGUCGAGACGAUUUCGCCGAGGACGACGGGUAAAUGAGAGGACGUAGAAGCGAAGCAAACGGGAAAGACCUCUGGAUGAAACUGCGGAGACGCCAAUAACUCGCGUACCACUAAUUCUACCGUGGUACACGAGGUUUGGACAUGAGCAUGACGUCGCAUCUCGAGGGGUAACCGCAGCCACAGGCGAAAUCAUUGUCCAACGAGGUACAGGCGGCUCUCGUGGGAAUUCGAGUCAAUAAUUUUGCUCUCGUUGCUAAAUCUCUCAAUUUUAAGGUUAUGGGGGGGACUUAUAGGUAGAAGUAGCGCAACCCCGAAUCUCGGGAGUGUAUGCAUGCAUUACCGUUGAUACGAGAGAUGUUUGAGCGCGUGAAUCGUAUAGCUGAGUGCGAAUGACAACUGUUUGAAACGAAGUGAAUGAGAUCGAGUGGAUAUUUAGUCAAUUCUUGGCAUAAUGCAACAACGUUAGCUGGAAUUUAUCUCUAAAUAUCAACUUCAUCCUAAAAAUAGUACUCAUCAAUGCUUUAAUUUUCCAAUAAUUUCUCACAAUUUUCCUUUCAUUUCCUCUACAUUUUUCCAUAAAUUUCCAUUCAUUUCCCUUUCAUUUUUCGUACACUUUCCCUUAAUUUUCUCCCUCAUUUUCUAUAACAUUUCCCUUCAUUUCCUGGCAUAUUUCUCUUUAAUUUACCUCAAUUUCUUGGUAUCAUCAUCUUUAAAUUUCCCCCUCUCAAAUUGCAAUAUUGUAGGAAGUUUGAGCGAAGACAAGUUCAACAAUCUUGCGCAACGUACCCCUCAAACAAUAAAAAAUAGUGAGGCUCGAUUUCAACAAAGUUGCAUUUCAAAAGUUUGGAGUCCAGGCGAUUUUUCAUAUUCUUCAUAUAUAAUAUAUUAUAUACUCAUACACAAUAAAUACAUACAUAUACAAGAUCAAGAUUCUAACUUUUGCCGUAACAGUUUUAAACUCAAUUUUUCUUGAAAUUUUCUGUAUCAUUACUCUACAUGUUUU
Molecule: long non-coding RNA, 1702 nt
Organism: Hylaeus anthracinus
Lineage: Eukaryota; Metazoa; Arthropoda; Insecta; Hymenoptera; Colletidae
Exons: 5
Source: RefSeq, a predicted model, not a curated record